UUUUUUUUGCUCUUUGGAUUCAUUUAUUAAUCCCCUAUCUAUAUAAACUAGUGUUUUGAAAAGUUAAUUACUUUGAAACUGAGAAGCGAACUCCCUUAAUUUCUUAAGUGGUUUGCAACUGGAAAUAGUCUUUUUUAAAACUGAAAUUAAAUUAUGUAUGUUUUUUGUUUUUGUUACAGAUACAGCCUCAAUAUGUAACACUCCUAUACCAUGAAAGAUGCUUCUAUUGUAGAAAGCACAUUAGGAAAAGUUGCAUGUAAGUAUUUGUUCAUAACAAUAUUUCUCAAAAAUAUGUCUACGUUUAUUAGUUAAUAAAACAAUUUUUGCUGGAAACAAUAAACUGAGCUUACAUGUAGGUAUUUGAGGGCACUGAAGUAAGCUUUAUAACAGACAUUGGUCUUAAAUUUUUCUUUCAUUCAGAUUUAUUCAUGUGAAGUAUAUUUUUAUCAGAAUGUAUAGAGAUUGUUAAAAAUAUACCUGUCUCCAAUUUAGGAUUUAACAUAAAACAUCCAUCACAUUAAUUUCCAAAUUGUUUUUGUUACAGAUUCAACUUAAAACAGAUGAUGUUUCAGUCGUAGCAGGUGCAGCAUGGCAGCCAAACAUGUUGAACUGAUUGUUGUGAUGAGACAGUUUAUUGCUUUGGAAAAUCCAAUUAUAUUGUUUAUAGAUUUAGAUAAUAAAAUUCUGUAAUGUUCAUAAUAUCAUAUGAUAAUUUGUUAAGUGCCCUCAAUAUGUCUUCAACGAAAUAUUAACAUGCACAAUUGAGGAUGCACUGUAAAAAAAUCUUCAAUAUUCUUAUUUUUAAAAGUAGGUUCUGAUUGUCAAUUUUAUAAGAUAUGUACAUAUUUACCUGAAUUUAUUUUUAAGGUAAUUGGAACAAUAUGACUAUUAAGAUUGUUUGAAAUUCAUGUUGAGUUUCAAUCAUUUCUGUUCAAAAUAUAUAUAUCACAUUCUUCUGGUUUGCCAGCAACUUCAAUUUUUGAAAUUAGAAAAUGAUGUAUAGCCAAAAGAUCAGUUGAACAAUGGUGUUGGUUGCAGUUAAUACCAGCUCUUUAUAGGAUCUUAAAAUGCCUAAAAUGGAAACAAUGUUUAAAUUUAACAAGUUACCAUAUCUACUGAUGAAGAAAUUAAAAUAUUGUGUAUGUUCCUUUUUUUGUACAAAUGGAUAUCUUUUGAGUAAUCGAUUGGAACACCCAAACAAUAACUUAAUCAUUUGGUUUUUUUCUUGUAUAUCCAUCAUUGUUUUUGUAAGAUAAAAACAAAAAGAAAGUAAUUUUGUUAAAAUUAUUUCUAAUUUUUAUCAACACAAUUAAAAUUCUAUUAAACUAAUAGUUUAGUUCAUGCUCCUUUAAUCUAUAUCUUAAAAGUUUUGUGGUGGGCUAAGCAAAUAUCAAAUAAUCAUUUCAGAAAUACACUUGAUUGCAGCGCUGCAUCUUCACUAACAUUUAACAUAGUUGGUUCUGAGUUACUGAGGUAGUUCCUAUUGGUGUGUUUCUUGUUUUUUCUAUGGAGGAAUCAGUAGUUUCUAUGUCUUCAGGAUAUGGUUUUGUCAUUCAAAGGGAACUCGCAAUCUCGCAAUGUAAUUCUGAAAUGAUAUAUAUUUGAUAUUUUAUUUUCAUUGAAAAAGAAACAAUAUUAAAUUUAUUGCAUGAACAUUUGAACUAUUUAAACUUUUUAAUUCAUAAUUUUUGGAAAUGGAAAAUUCAUAUUGUAACUGACAUAUUUUGGAAAUAGAAUUCAAAUUGUAACUGACACAUUUUGAAAAUUGAAUUCAAAUUGUAACUGACACAUUUUGGAAAUCGAAUUCAAAUUGUAACUGACACAUUUUGGAAAUAGAAUUUAAAUUGUAACUGACAGUUUGGAAAUAGAAUUCAAAUUGUAACUGACACAUUUUGGAAAUAUAAUUCAAAUUGUAACUGACACAUUUUGGAAAUUGAAUUCAAAUUGUAACUGACACAUUUUGGAAAUUGAAUUCAAAUUGUAACUGACACAUUUUGGAAAUAGAAUUCAAAUUGUAACUGACACAUUUUGGAAAUAGAAUUCAAAUUGUAACUGACACAUUUUGGAAAUAGAAUUCAAAUUGUAACUGACACAUUUUGGAAAUAGAAUUCAAAUUGUAACUGACACAUUUUGGAAAUAAAAUUCAAAUUGCAACUGACACAUUUUGAUGGAUGGAAUUUUAAAAAUAAGAACAUUUAUGUACUUAAUUUAAGCACAAGUGAAAACAAUUCCUAAAUAUAAAUUUUUGCUUCAUUUGGUAACAUGGAUGUGCAAAAUCACUGAUGGCUAACAAGGUUAAUUCCCUUAUUGGUUAGAUAAUGAAGUAUAGUCUACUGGACCCUGUAGACAUCCUACUAAAUGUAUUGAUAUAUUAAAUGUUUUUUUUAUAUCUCAAUCAAUAUUUGUACAUGCCUCACACAAAAAGGUGCAAGCAGAGUUGCAUGUACUGGACAGAGUCAGCUAUCAACUUUCUUUUUAUAACAGACCCAUUUCACAAUCAAUAUUUGUACAUGCCUCACACAUAAAGGUGCAAGCAGAGUUGCAUGUACUGGACAUUGUCAGCUAUCAAGUAUUUUUAUAACAAACCCACAGAACUGGUAUCCAGGAAAUUGAAAUGAAUCAACAAAACAUUUAUAUUGUAGAAAUGUAUUUUCCCGCGUUUCGGAGUAUAGCGGGAAAAUGUUGUCUAAAAGGAAUGUUUUAUAAGAACAGUAUGUUUUUGGCGGGUUUUGUUAUGUGUAGUUCUACACGUGGACCAAUCAUUUGGAUUGUGUCAAUAAGUAUUAUUAUGUUAAUAAGGUGAAAGCGGGUUUUUAAUUUUCUUGUGUUUGAAAAUCAUUCUAGCCACAGACGUUCAACACUAUAAAACUUAUAUUGUAUAUUAUUUUGCUGUUUUUUCUUGUGAUGGAGUUUGGCAUCAAUGUCCCGAGGCGUGCCUUGCACUUGCUCCGAACACAGGUUUCCAUAUCAAUUUCUUUAGUAAAGUUUUUGAUGGUUUUUCCUGGGCGGUGAGGUUACGUUAAAGACGGAUAUAUACAUAAAUACAUACAUAGAGAUAUGGGCUCUUAUUGAUUCAGACUAAACUUGUUUCAGAUGUUUAUUCUUUCUGUGUACUCAUUUGGAAUGUAUUUGUAUUUCAUAUAUGUCAUGAUUUAUAAUAUAAAUAUACAUUAAACGCCGGCUCUGUUAGUCUGCACGGCUAAAUGCAUUGCUUUGUGUUUGUUAUUAUUGUAGUGUAGUUAAGACUAAUAUAUUUCUCAUUAUACCUUACUUAUGAUGCAGAUUCAAAGAUGUACUACAGUGACAUAACACUACAAGUUACAAUAUAUUUUGUAUUUUUUGUCAUGAUGCAGAUUUUUGUCAUGUUAUUUUAAACAUGGUGCAUUACUUUUUUAGAGUUUUCUUUAUGUGUUAUGACGUAUGCUAUAUUUGCUAAACUUGUAUGCAUGUUUAUUAUGUUGAUGAAAAUAAAAUAUGAUGUCUAGGUUAUCAGCAAUAUGAAUAUAUUGUUUAUUUUGUUUAAGCCUAUAAAUUAUUUUGAAAGAUUCUUAAAUAAAAUGUAUUUGAAAACCG
Molecule: long non-coding RNA, 3573 nt
Filed under: Mytilus galloprovincialis (Mediterranean mussel)
Lineage: Eukaryota; Metazoa; Mollusca; Bivalvia; Mytilida; Mytilidae
Source: RNAcentral